Molecule: ribosomal RNA, 482 nt
Filed under: uncultured bacterium
Lineage: Bacteria
Description: partial 16S ribosomal RNA
Rfam family: Bacterial small subunit ribosomal RNA
Source: RNAcentral
AUUGAACGCUGGCGGCAUGCCUUACACAUGCAAGUCGAACGGUAACGGGCCUUCGGGUGCCGACGAGUGGCGAACGGGUGAGUAAUACAUCGGAACGUGCCCGAUCGUGGGGGAUAACGAGGCGAAAGCUUUGCUAAUACCGCAUACGAUCUACGGAUGAAAGCAGGGGACCGCAAGGCCUUGCGCGGACGGAGCGGCCGAUGGCAGAUUAGGUAGUUGGUGGGAUAAAAGCUUACCAAGCCGGCGAUCUGUAGCUGGUCUGAGAGGAUGAUCAGCCACACUGGGACUGAGACACGGCCCAGACUCCUACGGGAGGCAGCAGUGGGGAAUUUUGGACAAUGGGCGCAAGCCUGAUCCAGCCAUGCCGCGUGCAGGAUGUAGGCCUUCGGGUUGUAAACUGCUUUUGUACGGAACGAAAAGCCUUCUCUUAAUACAGGAGGGUCAUGACGGUACCGUAAGAAUAAGCACCGGCUAACUACGUG